UUAAGUUAUUAAGGGCGCACGGUGGAUGCCUUGGCACUAGAAGCCGAUGAAGGACGUUACUAACGACGAUAUGCUUUGGGGAGCUGUAAGUAAGCUUUGAUCCAGAGAUUUCCGAAUGGGGAAACCCAGCAUGAGUUAUGUCAUGUUAUCGAUAUGUGAAUACAUAGCAUAUCAGAAGGCACACCCGGAGAACUGAAACAUCUUAGUACCCGGAGGAAGAGAAAGAAAAUUCGAUUCCCUUAGUAGCGGCGAGCGAAACGGGAAGAGCCCAAACCAAAAAGCUUGCUUGUUGGGGUUGUAGGACACUCUAUACGGAGUUACAAAGGACGACAUUAGACGAAUCAUCUGGAAAGAUGAAUCAAAGAAGGUAAUAAUCCUGUAGUCGAAAAUGUUGUCUCUCUUGAGUGGAUCCUGAGUACGACGGAGCACGUGAAAUUCCGUCGGAAUCUGGGAGGACCAUCUCCUAAGGCUAAAUACUCUCUAGUGACCGAUAGUGAACCAGUACCGUGAGGGAAAGGUGAAAAGCACCCCGGAAGGGGAGUGAAAUAGAACCUGAAACCGUGUGCUUACAAGUAGUCAGAGCCCGUUAAUGGGUGAUGGCGUGCCUUUUGUAGAAUGAACCGGCGAGUUACGAUUUGAUGCAAGGUUAAGCAGUAAAUGUGGAGCCGUAGCGAAAGCGAGUCUGAAUAGGGCGUUUAGUAUUUGGUCGUAGACCCGAAACUAGGUGAUCUACCCUUGGUCAGGUUGAAGUUCAGGUAACACUGAAUGGAGGACCGAACCGACUUACGUUGAAAAGUGAGCGGAUGAACUGAGGGUAGCGGAGAAAUUCCAAUCGAACCUGGAGAUAGCUGGUUCUCUCCGAAAUAGCUUUAGGGCUAGCCUCAAGUGAUGAUUAUUGGAGGUAGAGCACUGUUUGGACGAGGGGCCCCUCUCGGGUUACCGAAUUCAGACAAACUCCGAAUGCCAAUUAAUUUAACUUGGGAGUCAGAACAUGGGUGAUAAGGUCCGUGUUCGAAAGGGAAACAGCCCAGACCACCAGCUAAGGUCCCAAAAUAUAUGUUAAGUGGAAAAGGAUGUGGCGUUGCCCAGACAACUAGGAUGUUGGCUUAGAAGCAGCCAUCAUUUAAAGAGUGCGUAAUAGCUCACUAGUCGAGUGACACUGCGCCGAAAAUGUACCGGGGCUAAACAUAUUACCGAAGCUGUGGAUUGUCCUUUGGACAAUGGUAGGAGAGCGUUCUAAGGGCGUUGAAGCAUGAUCGUAAGGACAUGUGGAGCGCUUAGAAGUGAGAAUGCCGGUGUGAGUAGCGAAAGACGGGUGAGAAUCCCGUCCACCGAUUGACUAAGGUUUCCAGAGGAAGGCUCGUCCGCUCUGGGUUAGUCGGGUCCUAAGCUGAGGCCGACAGGCGUAGGCGAUGGAUAACAGGUUGAUAUUCCUGUACCACCUAUAAUCGUUUUAAUCGAUGGGGGGACGCAGUAGGAUAGGCGAAGCGUGCGAUUGGAUUGCACGUCUAAGCAGUAAGGCUGAGUAUUAGGCAAAUCCGGUACUCGUUAAGGCUGAGCUGUGAUGGGGAGAAGACAUUGAGUCUUCGAGUCGUUGAUUUCACACUGCCGAGAAAAGCCUCUAGAUAGAAAAUAGGUGCCCGUACCGCAAACCGACACAGGUAGUCAAGAUGAGAAUUCUAAGGUGAGCGAGCGAACUCUCGUUAAGGAACUCGGCAAAAUGACCCCGUAACUUCGGGAGAAGGGGUGCUCUUUAGGGUUAACGCCCAGAAGAGCCGCAGUGAAUAGGCCCAAGCGACUGUUUAUCAAAAACACAGGUCUCUGCUAAACCGUAAGGUGAUGUAUAGGGGCUGACGCCUGCCCGGUGCUGGAAGGUUAAGAGGAGUGGUUAGCUUCUGCGAAGCUACGAAUCGAAGCCCCAGUAAACGGCGGCCGUAACUAUAACGGUCCUAAGGUAGCGAAAUUCCUUGUCGGGUAAGUUCCGACCCGCACGAAAGGCGUAACGAUUUGGGCACUGUCUCAACGAGAGACUCGGUGAAAUCAUAGUACCUGUGAAGAUGCAGGUUACCCGCGACAGGACGGAAAGACCCCGUGGAGCUUUACUGUAGCCUGAUAUUGAAAUUCGGCACAGCUUGUACAGGAUAGGUAGGAGCCUUUGAAACGUGAGCGCUAGCUUACGUGGAGGCGCUGGUGGGAUACUACCCUAGCUGUGUUGGCUUUCUAACCCGCACCACUUAUCGUGGUGGGAGACAGUGUCAGGCGGGCAGUUUGACUGGGGCGGUCGCCUCCUAAAAGGUAACGGAGGCGCUCAAAGGUUCCCUCAGAAUGGUUGGAAAUCAUUCAUAGAGUGUAAAGGCAUAAGGGAGCUUGACUGCGAGACCUACAAGUCGAGCAGGGUCGAAAGACGGACUUAGUGAUCCGGUGGUUCCGCAUGGAAGGGCCAUCGCUCAACGGAUAAAAGCUACCCCGGGGAUAACAGGCUUAUCUCCCCCAAGAGUUCACAUCGACGGGGAGGUUUGGCACCUCGAUGUCGGCUCAUCGCAUCCUGGGGCUGUAGUCGGUCCCAAGGGUUGGGCUGUUCGCCCAUUAAAGCGGUACGCGAGCUGGGUUCAGAACGUCGUGAGACAGUUCGGUCCCUAUCCGUCGUGGGCGUAGGAAAUUUGAGAGGAGCUGUCCUUAGUACGAGAGGACCGGGAUGGACAUACCUCUGGUGUACCAGUUGUCGUGCCAACGGCAUAGCUGGGUAGCUAUGUGUGGACGGGAUAAGUGCUGAAAGCAUCUAAGCAUGAAGCCCCCCUCAAGAUGAGAUUUCCCAACUUCGGUUAUAAGAUCCCUCAAAGAUGAUGAGGUUAAUAGGUUCGAGGUGGAAGCAUGGUGACAUGUGGAGCUGACGAAUACUAAUCGAUCGAAGACUUAAUCAA
RNAcentral lists this ribosomal RNA (2921 nucleotides) under Staphylococcus aureus DAR3933. Its description in RNAcentral is "bacterial LSU rRNA". It matches the Rfam family "Bacterial large subunit ribosomal RNA". Lineage: Bacteria; Bacillati; Bacillota; Bacilli; Caryophanales; Staphylococcaceae. The record is from RNAcentral.